GACGAACGCUGGCGGCGUGCUUAACACAUGCAAGUCGAACGGAAAGGCCCUGCUGUUGGGGUGUUCUCGAGUGGCGGACGGGCGAGUAACACGUGAGUAGCCUACCCUUGGCUGUGGGAUAACAUCAGGAAACUGGGGCUACUACUGGAUAGGAACGCCUCCUGCAUGGAGGGGGUGGGAAAGUUUCGGCGGUCUGGGCUGGACUCGCGGCUUAUCAGCUCGUUGGUGGGGUAGUGGUUUCCCAAGGCGUUGGCGGGUCGCCGGCCUGGGAGGGGGACCGGCGACAAUGGGCCUGAGGGAGGCCGCAGACUGCAACGGGGCGCAGCGGUGGGGAAUAUUGCGCAAUGGGCGGAAGCCUGUUGCGGAGGCGCCGCGGUCGGGAUGACGGCCCUCCGGGUGUAAACCGCGUUAGCCUGUGACGAAGCGUGAGUGACGGUAAUGGGUAAAGAAGCACCGGCUAACUACGUG
RNAcentral lists this ribosomal RNA (468 nucleotides) under uncultured bacterium. Its description in RNAcentral is "partial 16S ribosomal RNA". It matches the Rfam family "Bacterial small subunit ribosomal RNA", at positions 28 to 507 of the family's 1533-position model. The record is from RNAcentral.